AUGGGUCAGCGACUUAUAUUCUGUAGCAAGGUUAACCGAAUAGGGGAGCCGAAGGGAAACCGAGUCUUAACUGGGCGUUAAGUUGCAGGGUAUAGACCCGAAACCCGGUGAUCUAGCCAUGGGCAGGUUGAAGGUUGGGUAACACUAACUGGAGGACCGAACCGACUAAUGUUGAAAAAUUAGCGGAUGACUUGUGGCUGGGGGUGAAAGGCCAAUCAAACCGGGAGAUAGCUGGUUCUCCCCGAAAGCUAUUUAGGUAGCGCCUCGUGAAUUCAUCUCCGGGGGUAGAGCACUGUUUCGGCAAGGGGGUCAUCCCGACUUACCAACCCGAUGCAAACUGCGAAUACCGGAGAAUGUUAUCACGGGAGACACACGGCGGGUGCUAACGUCCGUCGUGAAGAGGGAAACAACCCAGACCGCCAGCUAAGGUCCCAAAGUCAUGGUUAAGUGGGAAACGAUGUGGGAAGGCCCAGACAGCCAGGAUGUUGGCUUAGAAGCAGCCAUCAUUUAAAGAAAGCGUAAUAGCUCACUGGUCGAGUCGGCCUGCGCGGAAGAUGUAACGGGGCUAAACCAUGCACCGAAGCUGCGGCAGCGACGCUUAUGCGUUGUUGGGUAGGGGAGCGUUCUGUAAGCCUGCGAAGGUGUGCUGUGAGGCAUGCUGGAGGUAUCAGAAGUGCGAAUGCUGACAUAAGUAACGAUAAAGCGGGUGAAAAGCCCGCUCGCCGGAAGACCAAGGGUUCCUGUCCAACGUUAAUCGGGGCAGGGUGAGUCGACCCCUAAGGCGAGGCCGAAAGGCGUAGUCGAUGGGAAACAGGUUAAUAUUCCUGUACUUGGUGUUACUGCGAAGGGGGGACGGAGAAGGCUAUGUUGGCCGGGCGACGGUUGUCCCGGUUUAAGCGUGUAGGCUGGU
RNAcentral lists this ribosomal RNA (910 nucleotides) under Escherichia coli. Its description in RNAcentral is "partial 23S ribosomal RNA". It matches the Rfam family "Bacterial large subunit ribosomal RNA", at positions 615 to 1529 of the family's 2925-position model. Lineage: Bacteria; Pseudomonadati; Pseudomonadota; Gammaproteobacteria; Enterobacterales; Enterobacteriaceae. The record is from RNAcentral.